RNAcentral lists this ribosomal RNA (468 nucleotides) under uncultured bacterium. RNAcentral's name for it is "partial 16S ribosomal RNA". It matches the Rfam family "Bacterial small subunit ribosomal RNA", at positions 28 to 507 of the family's 1533-position model. The record is from RNAcentral.
GAUGAACGCUGGCGGCGUGCUUAACACAUGCAAGUCGAACGAAAAGGCCCUGCUUUUGUGGGUUGCUCGUGUGGCGAACGUGUGUGAAACACGUGAGUAACCUGAACUUGUCUUUGGGAUACCUUCUGGAAACUGGGGAUAAUACCGGAUAGGAGCUCCUGCUGCAUGGUGGGGGUUGGUAAGAUUCGGCGGUUGGGGAUGGUCUCGCGGCUUAUCAGCUUGUUGGUGGGGUAGUGGCUUACCAAGGCAUUGACGGGUAGCCUGCCUGAGAGGGUGACCGGCCACAUUGGGACUGAGAUACGGCCCAGACUCCUACGGGAGGCAGCGGUGGGGAAUAUUGCACAAUGGGCGGAAGCCUGAUGCAGCAACGCCGCGUGCGGGAUGACGGCCUUCGGGUUGUAAACCACUGUCGCCUGUGACGAAGCGUGAGUGACGGUAACGGGUAAAGAAGCACCGGCUAACUACGUG